RNAcentral lists this ribosomal RNA (1293 nucleotides) under metagenome. Its description in RNAcentral is "bacterial SSU rRNA". It matches the Rfam family "Bacterial small subunit ribosomal RNA", at positions 187 to 1498 of the family's 1533-position model. The record is from RNAcentral.
CAUAUGCCGAGAGGUGAAAUGAAUUUCGCCUGAGGAUGAGCCCGCGUCUGAUUAGCUAGUUGGUGGGGUAAAGGCCUACCAAGGCAACGAUCAGUAGCUGGUCUGAGAGGAUGAUCAGCCACACUGGGACUGAGACACGGCCCAGACUCCUACGGGAGGCAGCAGUGGGGAAUUUUCCGCAAUGGGCGAAAGCCUGACGGAGCAACGCCGCGUGGGGGAUGAAGGCCUCUGGGCUGUAAACCUCUUUUCUCAAGGAAGAAGACCUGACGGUACUUGAGGAAUAAGCCACGGCUAAUUCCGUGCCAGCAGCCGCGGUAAUACGGGAGUGGCAAGCGUUAUCCGGAAUUAUUGGGCGUAAAGCGUCCGCAGGCGGCCUUGUAAGUCUGUUGUUAAAGCGUGGAGCUCAACUCCAUUUAAGCAAUGGAAACUACAAGGCUGGAGUGUGGUAGGGGCAGAGGGAAUUCCCGGUGUAGCGGUGAAAUGCGUAGAUAUCGGGAAGAACACCAGUGGCGAAGGCGCUCUGCUGGGCCAUAACUGACGCUCAUGGACGAAAGCCAGGGGAGCGAAAGGGAUUAGAUACCCCUGUAGUCCUGGCCGUAAACGAUGAACACUAGGUGUCGGGGGAAUCGACCCCCUCGGUGUCGUAGCCAACGCGUUAAGUGUUCCGCCUGGGGAGUACGCACGCAAGUGUGAAACUCAAAGGAAUUGACGGGGGCCCGCACAAGCGGUGGAGUAUGUGGUUUAAUUCGAUGCAACGCGAAGAACCUUACCAGGGUUUGACAUCCUGCGAACCCCUGAGAAAUCGGUGGGUGCCUUCGGGAGCGCAGAGACAGGUGGUGCAUGGCUGUCGUCAGCUCGUGUCGUGAGAUGUUGGGUUAAGUCCCGCAACGAGCGCAACCCACGUCUUUAGUUGCCAGCAUUCAGUUGGGCACUCUAGAGAGACCGCCGGUGAUAAACCGGAGGAAGGUGUGGAUGACGUCAAGUCAUCAUGCCCCUUACAUCCUGGGCUACACACGUACUACAAUGCUACGGACAAAGGGCAGCAAGCUCGCGAGAGUUAGCAAAUCCCAUAAACCGUGGCUCAGUUCAGAUCGUAGGCUGCAACUCGCCUACGUGAAGGAGGAAUCGCUAGUAAUCGCAGGUCAGCAUACUGCGGUGAAUACGUUCCCGGGUCUUGUACACACCGCCCGUCACACCAUGGAAGUUGGCCAUGCCCGAAGUCGUUACUCCAACCCUUGUGGAGGAGGACGCCGAAGGUGGGGCUGAUGACUGGGGUGAAGUCGUAACAAGGUA